CCUACGUGAUGCAGCAGUGAGGAAUAUUGGUCAAUGGGCGCGAGCCUGAACCAGCCAAGUAGCGUGAAGGCUGACGGCCCUACGGGUCGUAAACCUCUUUUAUAAAGGAAUAAAGUGCGGCACGCGUCCCGCUUCGCAUGUACCUUAUGAAUAAGGAUCGGCUAACUCCGUGCCAGCAGCCGCGGUAAUACGGAGGAUCCGAGCGUUAUCCGGAUUUAUUGGGUUUAAAGGGAGCGUAGAUGGGUUGUUAAGUCAGUUGUGAAAGUUUGCGGCUCAACCAUAAAAUUGCAAUUGAUACUGGGAGUCUUGAGUACGGUUGAGGAAGGCGGAAUUCGUGGUGUAGCGGUGAAAUGCUUAGAUAUCACGAAGAACUCCGAUUGCGAAGGCAGCUUGCUAAGC
RNAcentral lists this ribosomal RNA (399 nucleotides) under uncultured bacterium. RNAcentral describes it as "partial 16S ribosomal RNA". It matches the Rfam family "Bacterial small subunit ribosomal RNA", at positions 338 to 734 of the family's 1533-position model. The record is from RNAcentral.